Molecule: transfer RNA, 74 nt
Filed under: Bacilli bacterium
Lineage: Bacteria; Bacillati; Bacillota; Bacilli
Also listed under: 1 other name
Description: tRNA-Thr
Rfam family: tRNA
About the family: Transfer RNA (tRNA) molecules are approximately 80 nucleotides in length. Their secondary structure includes four short double-helical elements and three loops (D, anti-codon, and T loops).
Source: RNAcentral
GCCGUCUUAGUUCAGUGGUAGAACGGUUGCAUGGUAAGCAACAAACACAAGUUCGAUUCUUGUAGGUGGCACCA